Haemorhous mexicanus (house finch) is the source of this 1029-nucleotide long non-coding RNA. RefSeq lists it as uncharacterized. The transcript has 2 exons. The record is from RefSeq and is a predicted model, not a curated record. NCBI's taxonomy places the organism in Eukaryota, Metazoa, Chordata, Aves, Passeriformes, Fringillidae.
UGGGGACUUUGGGGCUACGGCUUCGUGUCCUUCAAGGACCCCAACGACUACGUCAGGGCCAUGCGCGAGAUGAACGGGAAGUACGUGGGCAGCCGGCCCAUCAAGCUGCGCAAGAGCCAAUGGAAGGAUCGGAACCUGGAGGUGGUGAGGCGCAAACAGCGCGAGAAGAAGAAACUGGGCCUGAGAUAGCCCCAACUGGGACAAACUGGGACAGACUGGGAUGGACUGGGCCUGAGAUGGCCCCCAACUGGGACAAACUGGGACAGACUGGGCCUGAGAUUGCCCCAACUGGGAUGGACUGGGACAGACUGGGCCUGAGAUGGCCCCAACUGGACAAAACUGGGACAGACUGGGACAGACUGGGCCUGAGAUAGCCCCAACUGGGACAGACUGGGACAGACUGGGACAGACUGGGCCUGAGAUUGCCCCAACUGGGACAAACUGGGACAGACUGGGCCUGAGAUAGCCCCCAACUGGGACAAACUGGGACAAACUGGGCCUGAGAUAGCCCAAACUGGGACAGACUGGGACAGACUGGGCCUGAGAUGGCCCCAACUGGGACAAACUGGGACAGACUGGGGACAAACUGGGCCUGAGAUAGCCCCAACUGGGAUGGACUGGGACAGACUGGGCCUGAGAUAGCCCAGACUGGGACAGACUGGGACAGACUGGGCCUGAGAUGGCCCAGACUGGGACAGACUGGGACAGACUGGGCCUGAGAUGGCCCCAACUGGGACGGACUGGGACAGACUGGGCCUGAGAUGGCCCCAACUGGGACGGACUGGGACAGGCUGAGCCUGAGAUGGCCCCAACUGGGAUGGACUGGGACAGACUGGGACAGACUGGGCCUGAGAUAGCCCCAACUGGGACAAACUGGGACAGACUGGGACAGACUGGGGCUGAGAUGGCCUGAACUGGGACGGACUGGGACAGACUGGGGCUGAGAUAACCCGGACUGGGACGGACUGGGACAAACUGGGAGGGACUGGGAGGGAGCGGGACGGCAAUAAAGGUGAAGUUAGGGCUGUG